This 337-nucleotide long non-coding RNA is filed under the name Elaeis guineensis (African oil palm). RNAcentral describes it as "long non-coding RNA (EGUI_LNC057154)". Lineage: Eukaryota; Viridiplantae; Streptophyta; Magnoliopsida; Arecales; Arecaceae. The record is from RNAcentral.
AGGCAAGGUAUGCACCUCUUUAACAUGAUGUGUCUAAAUAUAUCUUAGGAGAUUUAGCUCAUGAGCUUGAUCCCUUAUGAAGUCUCAUGAAUGCCAUGCAAUGUACUUGACUUGAUCUUGUUGUGAGUGUUACGAGCAGAGAUCAAUCGAAUCCAGAUAUUUAAUACUGUAUAGCUGUGAAGAACAUCCUUAAGUACUUGAAAAGUAUUAAAGAUUUGUUCUUGAUUUUUGAAGAAGAAUUUUGAGUUAUAGGGUUUAUGGGUACACAUGCUCAGAUCUUGAGUCUGGCACUGAUGGUAGAGAAUCUACAUCAGAAUGUAUGCAAUGUGAAAAUUGG